CAGUAGCCGCGGUAAUACGGAGGGUGCAAGCGUUAAUCGGAAUUACUGGGCGUAAAGCGCACGCAGGCGGUCUGACAAGUCAGAUGUGAAAUCCCCGGGCUUAACCUGGGAACUGCAUUUGAAACUGUCAGGCUGGAGUCUUGUAGAGGGGGGUAGAAUUCCAGGUGUAGCGGUGAAAUGCGUAGAGAUCUGGAGGAAUACCGGUGGCGAAGGCGGCCCCCUGGACAAAGACUGACGCUCAGGUGCGAAAGCGUGGGGAGCAAACAGGAUUAGAUACCCCAGUAGUCCCUGUCUCUUAUAC
This 301-nucleotide ribosomal RNA is filed under the name uncultured bacterium. RNAcentral describes it as "partial 16S ribosomal RNA". It matches the Rfam family "Bacterial small subunit ribosomal RNA", at positions 509 to 807 of the family's 1533-position model. The record is from RNAcentral.